GAUGUCUUUCCUACAGACUCCUGAUUGCAGCCUGAGCUUGCCAGAGGAGGGAGAUGUUAAUCAGCCUGGGUUCCACCAGAGUGAAGCAGAGAAGCCCAGACCAUGUGGCCUGUCUUACGAAUCUCUAACCCUUGACAUCUUGAGCCUAUGCUGUCUCCGGUUAAACUGAGGCAUCUAGAGAGGCUGUUCCAGCACCUUUUAUUGAAAAGACAUACUUUUGGGGAGGACUCAAGAUGGCGCUGUGAGAACAACCCAGGAUUGGAGCUCUCAUUGAAUCCGCAAAGAGGUGAGUCCGAGCUGCAUUUUUAGACUGAUCUUUGUUGCCCACAGAACGGGGAAACUCCCAAGUAUAGAAAAGACACGGGACGCCAGGCAGUAAGUCUGCCUGGCGAAGCCGGCAGCCGGGGCGGCGGCGGCCAGCCCUACCCAGCAAUCCCCACAGGGUGCGCUUGUCCGGGUGCCCUGUUGAACCAGCAACCUGAGACUUGAGAGGGCUGGACUUGAGACUGAACGAGACUUGGACAGUAGGCCAGCCCAGGGGAUUGCAGGGACAGAGCGUUCGGGAUACCCAGUGGGACGAACAAAACCGCGAUUUCAAACUAUCCCGAGCAGACGGUCCAAGACGCUCUGUGGGGGAGGGGAAUCCACCACUACCGAGGCAACCUGCCCCAACUGAGAUACACGCCCACUGCUGACGCAGCCAGCCGUUGCCGAGGCAACCCGUCCCUACUGAGAUACACACCCACGCGGACGCAGCCUCCCGUUGCCGAGGCA
Molecule: long non-coding RNA, 774 nt
Filed under: Callithrix jacchus (white-tufted-ear marmoset)
Lineage: Eukaryota; Metazoa; Chordata; Mammalia; Primates; Cebidae
Description: lncRNA (ENSCJAG00000063076.2)
Source: RNAcentral